This is a non-coding RNA of Triticum aestivum (bread wheat), 125 nucleotides long. Lineage: Eukaryota; Viridiplantae; Streptophyta; Magnoliopsida; Poales; Poaceae. The record is from Rfam.
UAAAUACUUUCUUCGUUCGAAAAUAUUUGUUGCAGAAAUGGAUAUAAAUGGAUGCAUCUAAAACUAAAAUACGUCUACAUAUAUUUAUUCUUCCGACAAGUAUUUCUGGACGAAGGGAGUAUUUG